UACCAGCACCCCGAGUGGUAGGGACGAUUAUUGGGCCUAAAGAAUCCGUAGCCGGUUCUACAAGUCUUACGUUAAAUCCACCUGCUCAACAGUUGGGCUGCGGAGGAUACUAUAGAGCUAGGAGGCGGGAGAGGCAAGCGGUACUUAGUGGGUAGGGGUAAAAUCCGUUGAUCCAUUGAAGACCACCAGUGGCGAAGGCGGCUUGCCAGAACGCACUCGACGGUGAGGGAUGAAAGCUGGGGGAGCAAACCGG
RNAcentral lists this ribosomal RNA (253 nucleotides) under uncultured bacterium. Its description in RNAcentral is "partial 16S ribosomal RNA". It matches the Rfam family "Archaeal small subunit ribosomal RNA", at positions 474 to 727 of the family's 1478-position model. The record is from RNAcentral.